UAAAGCCAAAGAUCCUCCUGGCUGUAGCACGCACUUCGAGGACACGAAGCCCUACCACGAAAGUAGCUUUACUUAUUUUCCUCUGACCCCACGAAAGCUAAGAAACAAACUGGGAUUAGAUACCCCACUAUGCUUAGCCUUAAACCUAGAUGUUGAAUUUACAAACAACAUCCGCCAGGGUACUACAAGCGCUAGCUUAAAACCCAAAGGACUUGACGGUGUCUCAGACCCACCUAGAGGAGCCUGUUCUAGAACCGAUAAUCCCCGUUAAACCUCACCACCCCUUGUUUCCUCCGCCUAUAUACCGCCGUCGCAAGCUUACCCUGUGAAGGACUAAUAGUAAGCAAAAUGGGUAAAUCCCAAAACGUCAGGUCGAGGUGUAGCUUACGAGGUGGGAAGAAAUGGGCUACAUUUUCUAUAUCAGAAUAAUACGAACAACACCAUGAAAUUGGUGCUCGAAGGUGGAUUUAGUAGUAAAAAACAAAUAGAGAGUCUUUUUGAACCAGGCUCUGAGACGCGCACACACCGCCCGUCACUC
This 538-nucleotide ribosomal RNA is filed under the name Piabina argentea. Its description in RNAcentral is "partial small subunit ribosomal RNA". It matches the Rfam family "Bacterial small subunit ribosomal RNA", at positions 657 to 1402 of the family's 1533-position model. The record is from RNAcentral. Lineage: Eukaryota; Metazoa; Chordata; Actinopteri; Characiformes; Stevardiidae.